This 367-nucleotide ribosomal RNA is filed under the name uncultured Lysinibacillus sp. Its description in RNAcentral is "bacterial SSU rRNA". It matches the Rfam family "Bacterial small subunit ribosomal RNA", at positions 43 to 395 of the family's 1533-position model. Lineage: Bacteria; Bacillati; Bacillota; Bacilli; Caryophanales; Bacillaceae. The record is from RNAcentral.
UUUGCCAUCGCGCUAUCUGCAGUCGAGCGACAGAAAGGAGCUUGCUCCUUUGACGUUAGCGGCGGACGGGUGAGUAACACGUGGGCAACUUCCCCUAUAGUUUGGGAUAAUUCCGGGAAACCGGGGCUAAUACCGGAAUAAUUUCUUUUGCUUCAUGGCCAAGAGACUGAAAGACGGUUUCGGCUGUCGCUAUAGGAUGGGCCCGCGGCGCAUUAGCUAGUUGGUGAGGUAACGGCUCACCAAGGCGACGAUGCGUAGCCGACCUGAGAGGGUGAUCGGCCACACUGGGACUGAGACACGGCCCAGACUCCUACGGGAGGCAGCAGUAGGGAAUCUUCCACAAUGGGCGAAAGCCUGAUGGAGCAAC